This 253-nucleotide ribosomal RNA is filed under the name uncultured bacterium. RNAcentral's name for it is "partial 16S ribosomal RNA". It matches the Rfam family "Bacterial small subunit ribosomal RNA", at positions 524 to 776 of the family's 1533-position model. The record is from RNAcentral.
UACGGAGGGGGCCAGCGCUAUCCGGAAUCAGUGGGUGUAAAGGGCGAGUAGGCGGACGGGCAAGUCAGGGGUGAAAUCCCACGGCUCAACCCAGGCACUGCCUCUGAAACUGUACAGCUCGAGGCCGGGAGAGGGUAGUGGAAUUCCCAGUGUAGCGGUGAAAUGCGUAGAUAUUAGGAGGAACACCAGUGGCGAAGGAGGCUACCGGGACCGUUUCUGACGCUGAGGCGCGAAAGCGUGGGGAGCAAACAGG